Arachis ipaensis is the source of this 1262-nucleotide non-coding RNA. NCBI's taxonomy places the organism in Eukaryota, Viridiplantae, Streptophyta, Magnoliopsida, Fabales, Fabaceae. The record is from RefSeq and is a predicted model, not a curated record.
GCCAUCAUCCCAACCCCCAUCAGUAACAAACACACGCACAUAGUGAGACAAAAGGGGAGAAAGGAAACAGACAGAGGGAGAAGGAGGAAAGAGUUCACCGGCGUGGAGGAGGGAGGGAGCUCGCCGUCGCCGUUGCCCUCACGAGCCCGCCGAACCCGCCACGCCUCGCCGACAGCUGCGCGCCACCGCCAUUCCGUCAACGCUGCAUCCCGUCGCGCUCAUCGCCGCCAUUUCCAGGCGUCAUUGUCAAAUCGCCAAGGGAGGGAGAGGGACGCGAUGGAAGUGAGGAUGGAGGAGCUAGUGUUGCUGUCGAACUAUUGCGGAGCCACCAGAGUCGUUGCGUCGCCGCCGUCAUCCUCACUGCGCCGCCGUCGCCCUUGCCACGGGGUCAGUCGCCGAUCUGGUCUGAGAGAGAGGGAACGUGAACAGAAGGCAAGACCGGGAGCCACCACCACUGCUCGCUGAACCCCAGUGCUCCCUAUCGCCUCUGCCGUCUGGAGACGCGCCGCCGCGCCUGGCCGCCGGAAACCGCCACUGAAGCCGGUGUCAUUUGGAGUUAUCGCGAGUUGCCGCCGCCGGACCCACACCGGAGCUACUGCCAUUCACCGCCGCUGGUGUUGUUCGUCGCCGUGCUUGCCAUUCGGAGCAGAUGCAUUGCUGCUUCCACCGUUCUCCUCACCGGGAGUGGCGCGGGUGUUGCUGGAACCACCAUCGGGGCUGCCGCUACUAGGUGUAGUUCUUCCCUUGUUGCGGUUCGAGUUCUGAUUGCUGCCGUUCUAGUCAUCGGGUGUAGCGCGGUUGUUGCCAGAACCACCGCCGGGACUACUGCUGCUUGAUUUGGCCGUUCUUUCAUAGUUUCAUUAUUGUAUGUUGCGAUUAGUGUUGCUAUGUUUAUUGCAAAAGUGGCUGGGAGCUGAGGUUUUGGUUGCCGUCAGUUCGGGUUGAGGCGAAAAGAACUCUGUGAGGCAUUUGGGUUAUGGUUUCAACAUGUCAAGGAUAUGGACGCUGAAGUCACGAAGAGCUUAUCUAGUUGUUGUCGUGAUGUUUCGUAUCGCUCUAGUUAUUGUUUAUUGUUCCCUCGCCUUUAUCUAUAUGUAUUCUGUAAGAGGGAUAGGAAUUAUAUUGGUUUAUGCUUGUAAUAUUAUUUUAUAUAUAUGUAUAAGUAUAUACUCUGAGAGUUUCUGUAAGUUGUAUUGUAUGUAUGGAUGUACGUUACAUAACAAAAGUAUUUUUGGAGCGGUAUUGCGGUUUAAAGUUUUAAA